RNAcentral lists this ribosomal RNA (857 nucleotides) under uncultured Alphaproteobacteria bacterium. RNAcentral describes it as "bacterial SSU rRNA". It matches the Rfam family "Bacterial small subunit ribosomal RNA", at positions 527 to 1382 of the family's 1533-position model. Lineage: Bacteria; Pseudomonadati; Pseudomonadota; Alphaproteobacteria. The record is from RNAcentral.
GGGGGGGGCGAGCGUUGUUCGGAAUUACUGGGCGUAAAGAGCGAGUAGGUGGUUUAUUUAGUCAAAUGUGAAAGCUCAAAGCUUAACUUUGAAAUUGCAUUUGAAACUGAUAGACUAGAGUUUGGGAGAGGAUAGCGGAAUUCUAAGUGUAGAAGUGAAAUUCGUAGAUAUUUAGAGGAACACCAACAGCGAAGGCAGCUAUCUGGCCCUUUACUGACACUCAGAAGCGAAAGCUUGGGUAGCAAACAGGAUUAGAUACCCUGGUAGUCCAUGCUGUAAACGAUGAGUGCUAGAUAUUAGAAAUUUAUUUCUAGUGUCGAAGCUAACGCGUUAAGCACUCCGCCUGGGGAGUACGGCCGCAAGGCUAAAACUCAAAUGAAUUGACGGGGACCCGCACAAGCAGUGGAGCAUGUGGUUUAAUUCGACGCUACGCGAAAAACCUUACCAGCUCUUGACAUGUUAGGUUAUAGAUUUAAGAGAUUAAAUUUUUCAGUUCGGCUGGGCCUAGUACAGGUGCUGCAUGGCUGUCGUCAGCUCGUGUCGUGAGAUGUUCGGUUAAGUCCGGCAACGAGCGCAACCCUUAUCUUCAGUUACUAACAGGUUAUGCUGAGGACUCUGGAGAAACUGCCGCUGGAAAAGUGGAGGAAGGCGAGGAUGACGUCAAGUCCUCAUGGCCCUUAUGGGCUGGGCUACACACGUGCUACAAUGGUAAUUACAAUGAGUCGCAAAGGGGCAACCUGGAGCUAAUCUCAAAAAAUUAUCUAAGUUCGGAUUGUUCUCUGCAACUCGAGAGCAUAAAGUUGGAAUUGCUAGUAAUCGUGGAUCAGCAUGCCACGGUGAAUACGUUCCCGGGUCUU